UACGUAGGGUGCGAGCGUUAAUCGGAUUUACUGGGCGUAAAGCGUGCGCAGGCGGCGCGUUAAGUCAGGUGUGAAAGCCCCGAGCUUAACUUGGGAAUUGCGCUUGUGACUGGCGUGCUGGAGUGUGGCAGAGGGAGGUGGAAUUCCACGUGUAGCAGUGAAAUGCGUAGAGAUGUGGAGGAACACCGAUGGCGAAGGCAGCCUCCUGGGCCAGCACUGACGCUCAUGCACGAAAGCGUGGGGAGCAAACAGG
This 253-nucleotide ribosomal RNA is filed under the name uncultured bacterium. RNAcentral describes it as "partial 16S ribosomal RNA". It matches the Rfam family "Bacterial small subunit ribosomal RNA", at positions 524 to 776 of the family's 1533-position model. The record is from RNAcentral.